RNAcentral lists this ribosomal RNA (496 nucleotides) under uncultured bacterium. Its description in RNAcentral is "partial 16S ribosomal RNA". It matches the Rfam family "Bacterial small subunit ribosomal RNA", at positions 28 to 506 of the family's 1533-position model. The record is from RNAcentral.
GAUGAACGCUGGCGGCGUGCCUAAUACAUGCAAGUCGAGCGAACAGACGAGGAGCUUGCUCCUCUGACGUUAGCGGCGGACGGGUGAGUAACACGUGGAUAACCUACCUAUAAGACUGGGAUAACUUCGGGAAACCGGAGCUAAUACCGGAUAAUAUAUUGAACCGCAUGGUUCAAUAGUGAAAGACGGUUUUGCUGUCACUUAUAGAUGGAUCCGCGCCGCAUUAGCUAGUUGGUAAGGUAACGGCUUACCAAGGCAACGAUGCGUAGCCGACCUGAGAGGGUGAUCGGCCACACUGGAACGGAGACACGGUCCAGACUCCUACGGGAGGCAGAAGUGGGAAAUCUUCCGAAAUGGGCGAAAGCCGGACGGAGCAACGCCGCGUGAGUGAUGAAGGUCUUCGGAUCGUAAAACUCUGUUAUUAGGAAAGAACAAAUGUGUAAGUAACGAUGCACGUCUUGACGGUACCUAAACAGAAAGCCACGGCUAACUACGU